Long non-coding RNA from Rosa chinensis, 834 nucleotides. RefSeq lists it as uncharacterized. Lineage: Eukaryota; Viridiplantae; Streptophyta; Magnoliopsida; Rosales; Rosaceae. The record is from RefSeq and is a predicted model, not a curated record. The transcript is spliced from 4 exons.
UCUAACAGAUGAAUAGCAAAUUAUGCAGAAAAACAUCUGCAUUUUCUUCUGUAUUUAGUAUUAGGGUGGUUGUGUGUGUGUGUGUGUUCUGUUCAGAAAUAUCUUUAAGAAUAUGCUCUCUUUUUCUAAACCCUUUAUAUCUAUGUUCUUUUAUUCCAAAUGCUGAUCAUGAAUCAUCUGCAAAUGCUGAUCAUGAAUAACAAAGAUAAAUGCAUGUUGUAAAUGCUAUCUAAGAUUUUUAAUCAGUAUCCAAAAUGAAAACAUGGAUUAGGCUUCAUCUAAGAAUAUGCAUGCCACUUCAGGAAAAGAAUCAAAUUCUUCCAAUCAUGCAUAACUGAAAGUACUUGAUCAUCAUUUUAUGCUUUGCAGAUACCACAGUCCCAAUUGGUUGAAAUUAAUGCACAUUCUCUAUUCACCAAAUGGUUCUCUGAAAGUGGCAAGUUGGUUGCAAAGCUUUCCAAAAAAUUCAAGAGAUGGUAGAGGAGGAAAACCAAUCUGGUAUUUAUUUUGAUCGAUGAAGUUGAAAGCCUUGCUGCUACAAAAUCCGCUUUAUCGGGUUCUGAACCUUCAGAUUCUAUUCGGGUGGUGAAUGCGUUACUAACCUAGCUGGAAAAAUCGAAAUCAGCACCAAAUGUGAUGAUUUUGACAACAUCCAACAUAACUGCUGCUAUUGGUAAGACCGUAAGACUGCAGUCACUUUCUUACAUGCUAAUUGAAAAACCUCCUUGGAUUUGGUUGCCAUUUAUCUUUACCAGGAGCGGUAAUUUGUUGUUGGGAAAGAAUUGAUGCACUUCUUUUUCCCUCCCUGUAUAGAUCAGUUUAAUCUAUUUUUGA